This 450-nucleotide ribosomal RNA is filed under the name uncultured bacterium. RNAcentral's name for it is "bacterial SSU rRNA". It matches the Rfam family "Bacterial small subunit ribosomal RNA", at positions 354 to 796 of the family's 1533-position model. The record is from RNAcentral.
GUGGGGAAUAUUGGACAAUGGGCGAAAGCCUGAUCCAGCCAUGCCGCGUGUGUGAAGAAGGUCUUCGGAUUGUAAAGCACUUUAAGUUGGGAGGAAGGGCAGUAAGUUAAUACCUUGCUGUUUUGACGUUACCGACAGAAUAAGCACCGGCUAACUUCGUGCCAGCAGCCGCGGUAAUACGAAGGGUGCAAGCGUUAAUCGGAAUUACUGGGCGUAAAGCGCGCGUAGGUGGUUUUGUAAGUUGGAGGUGAAAUCCCCGGGCUCAACCUGGGAACUGCCUCCAAAACUGCAUGGCUAGAGUACGGUAGAGGGUAGUGGAAUUUCCUGUGUAGCGGUGAAAUGCGUAGAUAUAGGAAGGAACACCAGUGGCGAAGGCGACUACCUGGACUGAUACUGACACUGAGGUGCGAAAGCGUGGGGAGCAAACAGGAUUAGAAACCCGAGUAGUCC